UUUAAAGCCAUGAUCAUUACGGAGAGGGUAGUGGGAGAGGAGAGGUUCCGGGAGUGACCCCUGGGCCUGCUCCAGUGUCGCAGGUUUGGGAGAAGAAUAGCCACCAGGGGAGACUGAGACGGAGUGGCCGGGGAGACGGAGAAAAACCAGGAGACCACGGGGUGAAGAAACGCCCGGAGCCAGAGGGAUGAAUGUGGUCAAAGCUGCUAUUCAAGUGAGGCGGGGCUGAGCGAAGGCUUCCACGGAGGCAGCAGAGUCCCGGUUUUCACUCACGACCAGCUUUGCGAGGCUCUGCCUGAGAGAGGUGGCCCCGCGCACGUCAGCUGUGGACGAGGGGGACACGUGCUCCAGCAUGGCCAUCCCGCUCCACCUUCUGCAUUCAUCGCAGGGGACGAGGGCUCAGUGCAGGCUGCAGCUGUCCCGGCAUCUCCUGAGCUCUGCCCUCCCUCUGGAUCCCCACUCCCUCAGGGCGGAGGCGGACAGCAGGCUGAAGGGAGAACUUCAGUCAGUGGGAAACUUCAUGGAGCAACAGCUGGUGAAGAAGAUGAGGCUCAGAGAAGUUAAGUACCACCCAAGGCCCCAAAGCUAGUAAGUCGCAAGCCAGAAGCUUCAGUGUACACUGACCUGAGGUAGAAAAUGCUGACAUCUUUGUUCCUUUGGGUCCAGAACUCCAAAAGAGAUAAGCCCCCAGACCUUUGGUGGUGGCGGUGCAAACGCGCCUCUCAGAUUUCAGACUGGUCCCCGCUACUGUGCCCGGAUCAUGGCCAUCACUGUUUGCACUGAGGCCCUCAGGCUGCUUCCAGCCAUUGACUCCGGCAGGUCCCCUCUUGGAGAUGCAAGACCCCCCCCGACAGACAAGUUGGCACAAGGAUUCCCCAAGGGCUUGCUACUUUCUUAGAUCUGAACCACAACCUGAGACUCUUCACCCCACCUUCUGUCCUGCCCUCUCUCCUCCGCAGGGUCCAAACUACGUCACAGUCUGACGUCCCUCCCAACUUCCCCCUGGCUCCCCGCCCAUCUUCCCUCACAGGUGUCCCCCAUAAAUCUCUUGCACAUAGAGUCCUGUCUUGGUGUCUGCUUCUUCAAGGACCAGAACGAAUGUAAGUAGUCUGAGGAAACAGUGGUAAGAUGGGGAUUUGGGGCUGUCCCACUCAGAGGCAAUGGGGAGGAAGAUGUUGUCCUGAUUGAUAGGAGGCCCCCAGAGAGUCCUUAGAACAAGGCAGCAGCUCAAAUGCUAAACAUUUCACCAGCGAGGACCUGGGAAAAUUUCCUGGAGGAGAGGAGUGCUGGCAGGUGUGAUAAUUCAAGCAUUUGAAAAAUAGAGGGGCAAAGAUGCCUUCAAAAAAUUGGCUGGUUACUGCAGAGGGAAGAAGGACUGCGGGCCACUAAUGAGCAGUGGAGGGGUAGGCGUGGAGGCCGAGAGCCCUGCGGUGGCUUACAAAGAGGCCCUUAUCUCUGGCAGUGGAGGGCAGAUACGGCUGAGUGGCGGGCUGAAGACAAACCGUUAGCGUUGCAGAGCGCCAGAUAAGUCUGAAGGCUCAGCCAAGGCGGUUAUGAGAAGAUCGGGCCCUGGUGGGGAAAAUCUGGACCCCUGACCCAUGAGAUAAAGACAUCUGGAUGGAUGCCCUGAGGCCGCCGCGCAGCCUCCCUGACCCUCUGAGCUUGCAGAGGUGGCCCGCCCUUCUGCAGAAGAGCUACCCCUCUGCAGUGCUGAAAGAUUCCCAAGAGGCCUCGCCCCGGCAGGGGCCCUCUCAGUGGCUGCCCCACUGCCUCUCCUGGGUGCCAGGGACAAGCAUUAGGGUUGAAUUCCAGAAUAAUCUGGCUGCAGACAUGCUGGGCCUGAUAAGGGAGGAAAGAGACUAUAUCAUGAAAGAAUGGUAACUCUCAUGGAUCCUGGAACAAACCAGGGAUGCUCCUGGGACUGGAUUUUGCGAAUGCCUGAUUAAGGAGGCUGGAAUGUAAGACUGGCUAACAAGAAUCCAUCGGCUGGAGGGCACUUUCUUGAGACGCAAGAUUUAAUAUCCUAGCGAGGAUACCAGGGGAUGGGGCAGACUCUGCUAGGGUGGCUCUUAGAAGUCUGGAAAAAGUAGUGGCUAACACUCAGUGCAGUGGAAAUACCUGAGUUCUCCUGGCAGAUGGUAGAGAAGAAGUUAAAAAAGCUGAGGAAAGUGGACACGUUGGAACGGAUUUGUUAUCUAAGGCCAGUAAUGACAGGCAAGGACAGAGGGGCAGGCAAGGGGGCUUGACCCACAGAAAGCUGUGGAGAUGGUGAAUGGAGCAGGGUAUCCCCAGGAGCAAACCAGAGGGGCAGCCAAGAAGCCUCUGCUUAAUAUCUACAGCCAGAAAAGCAGACAGGAGUGGGGGAGCAGAAGGCAGGGGCAAUAGGAGGUCACCGUCCCUUGCUCAGUUCCCAGACCUGAACCAAUUUUCAGAUAUGAAACCCGCUGACCGAAGAGGUGGCCAGAUCUCUAGGAAUAGGACCCUGCCAAACCUCAAUCUGACCUCUGCAGAAAUUGGACGGAUCCUGGAGGAAGACCGCAGACCGCCACGGCUUAACCAAGGGGGAGCCCUGCUCGCAGCUGCUGUGCCUGACGUGGAGUCCUUGCCGGAGCAGGUUCACGAGGCCUUAGGUAUGUGGCCAGCAGUAAUUCAGUGCCUGUGGUCUUUUCCAUUCCAAUUAGAAAAGAGGAUCAGAAACAGUUCACAUUCACAUGGGAUGGACAACAAUAUUCAUUUACACUUUUGCCUCGGGGCUAUGUUAACUGUCUCUCUGACUUAAUAUAAUCCCAAGAGAUCAGGACCAUGAUCCCACAGAACAUCACCCUGAUCCAUUGCAUCGCUGCGCCAUGCUGGUUAGACAGGAUGAGCAAGAGGUGUCCCUAUGCUGGAAGCCGCGGCUAAGUCACAUGCACUCCAGAGUGCGGCAUAUAAAACCUAUGACGAUUCAAAGACCUACCACUUCAAUGAAGUUUUGAAGGGGUUCAGUGGUCAGGGGGAUGCCAAGAUAUCCCCUCCCAAGUAAACGAAAUGGCUGCAUUUUGUAUUUCUUACCACAAGAAAGCACAAUGCCUGGUAACCCUCUUGGGGUUAGAGACAACCCAUUAUUCUGGGUGACAAGGAAGGCUGCCAGCUGUAGGUGGGCCCCAGGACGGGAAGAGGCUCUGCUGAAGGUUUAGGCUGCAGUGCAAGCAGUCCUGCCAUUUGGGUUAUGCUGUUUGGCAGACUCUCUGGUGCUGGAAUAGUCAAUAGUGGGAGAGGGAAAAGGUGUAGUUGGAGCUUAUGUCAAGUCCCAGUGGGAGAAGUGUAGAGCAGGACCCUGGGAUUCCAUGGCAAGGCCACACCAUCGGCAACAGAGGGCUGCAUGCCUUUUGAGAAACUGUUUCUGGCAUGUUACUGGGGUCUGGUAGAGACAGAACACUCGCCCAGGGCACACCAAGUGGGACAUCUGAAACUGCCCUCUGAGCUGGGUUCUGUUGGAUGCAUCAAGUCAUAAAGUCAGAUGGGGCUGACAGCAGUCCGUCAUAAGACAGAAAUGCUGCCUCUGGGACUGAGCCAGACUGAGGCAGAGGGCAUGAGUAAACUGCAUGAGGACAUAGCCAGAGCCCAUUCUCUGGCUUGUACUUAUGGUCGCAUGGAGGGUUCUGUACAACCAACUGAAAGAGGAGGAAAAAGCCUGAGCUUGGUUUAUGGAUGGGUCAAAGUGGCACAUGGGUACAAGCUGAAGAUGGACAGUGGCUGUAUGACAGGUGUAAGGGAAAGGGAAAAUAUUCUUCCUGGAUAGAGCUGUGAGCAGAGUGCUUGCUCACCUACCUUGUUGCACAAGAAAAAGUGGCCCAAGGUGGUGAGAAUAUAUACACCCUCUUGGGCAGUGGCCAAUGGUCUGGCCAUUUGUUCAGGGGCCUGGAAGGAAAAGGACUGGCAGAUUGGGGACAAGGAGGUGUGAGGUAGAGGCAUGUGGAUGGAUGCAGGAGAUAAAGCAUGAAGCGUGAGGGUUGCAGUACCACACACUAAUGCCCAUUAGAAAGCACUCGAAACAGAAGCAGCAGUGAAUAAGCAAGGAAAGAAAAUGUCUUGGACAGUUGACACAAGCCAGUCCUUGUCAUUGGCUACUCUGGAACUGGCAUGAUGGGCAUAUGAGUGGAAUGGCCACAGUGGCAGAGGCAGAAGCCACAGAGGGGCUAACAUGGGCCCAGCAGCACGGACUCCCUAGGAACUGCUGCCUCUGAAUGUCCAACCCAUCAGCAAAAGAGACCAGUGCUGAGCCCCUGCAGUGGCACUGUGUCUCAAGGAGCCCAACUCACCGCUUGAAGGCAAGUCAACUGCAUCAGGCUCCUUCCAUCCCGAAGCGUCAGCGGUUCACCCUCUUUGGGAAAGAGAUCUAUUAUGGGUUUGCCUUUCCUGACCACAGAGCCUCAGUCAGCACUGCUGUCCAGGGACUUACAGAACGCCUGAUCUGAAGGCAUGGAAUUCCACCCAGUACAGCAUUUGACCAGGGACACUGGAGGGUCCCACUGGACUAGACUAUGGCUGCCACCAGGGCACUUUGGAUUCCUUAUGUCCAGGGACCAGCCGGGGGACUUGACCCUGAUCAGCAGGAUUCAGGGCUGCUACUCCAUAAUGGGGACAGGAAGGAAUGUGUGCACCCAGGUGAUCCACUGAGCACUCCCAGAUGAUCCCCACUGUCAUCAUGAAAGGACAUGCGCAGCAACCCUGACCUGAGAAGGGUUUGAUUACCAAGCCUUGAGGUCCCCUUUCCCCCUUCCCCGGAAUGAAGGCUGGGGUCACACCACCAGGUGAGCCAUCAACCUCUGCCAAGGUUGCUGAGCGUGAGGAGGAUUCAGGAUGGAGGGUAGGGGAGGGAGAGGAUGAGACUAAAUACACCGACGGGGGUUGUAGUUAGUUCUACCAUCUCCCUUUCUCUCUUCUGAGUCUCCCUUAGGAACAGCCCAAGGGAAACAGGCAAGAGCUGCCCUCUGUAUCUGGUGGAGAAGCAGCACCGUGUGGCACAAGGGUGGACUGUGACAACCAUGAAGACUUCUCUCGGUUCUCUGGCUGCAGGGAUUGGAAGUGGCCGCCAGCGCCAGCUGCUGUAUCCUGAAAUCUAUUACUGAGUUUGCACUAAGAAUGCACUUCCUACGAGCUGCUGCCUGCCAGUGACUGAGCGUGGCGGGGAUCCUGGCAGGCCGUCCUCAGGAGAUUGCCGAUGGCUUGAGGACUUCUCACCUGCCUUGCCGAGCCUCAUUAGACCUGCCCUGCAGUCUAAGUCUCCUCCGCCCACCUCUCCUUCCUUCUCUCUUUCACAAGGUCACACCCGCACCAUGGUCUCCUGGCUCUCCCAGGCUCCCCUGCUUCCCUUCCAUUACAAUUUGAGAAGCACUGAUUUAGAUGAUUUUGUGUUUAAAUCCUUUAAAUCUCAGUUUGGAACCUGAGUCUUUGCAAAGGUAAACAGUUGGAAUCACAAAACCAUCUGGGUCCUUCAUUUUGUAGGUCAAAGCCCAGCAAAGUUAAGGCACUAGUUCAAAGUCACAUGGCGAACUAGAAUAGAGCCAGCACCCAGGGGUCUUACCCGCCAGCUCUUCCCACUGUAGGCUCUUCUGUGAGCAGGCUGCUUGCUCUAAAUGUGCAUUGUCUACUGUGGUAGCACCGGAAAUGUGGCUAGUUGUGGUGUAAUAAAAAAACACUUGGUCUUUGUCCUGGGUUCCUGGCCUGGAGUCCCUCAAACCCUUAGAAUCUCCUGGGUGAUGGCGUGUCUCUCGUUAUUCACAAGGAGCGCCUCUGACCACACCUGUGUUUAUGCGAACGAAGUGACUCACGGUGGGGCCCUAGAUAGCUUCAGGAUGGGCGCUGGUCAUUGGAAAGACCAAACAUGUGCAUGGAGGGUGGGAACUUGCAGCUUCAGGGGAGGCGGUGGGGGCUGGAGAAUGAGUUAUAAAAACUCUUGAACAAGAUUCAAAGAGCCCCCGGUUGGUGACCACAUUGAGACGCCGGGAGGGUGGAGGCCCCGGGAGGCAUGGAAGGUCUGCCCUCCCCCUUCUCCCACAGCCCUACGCCUCCUUCCCACGUGGCUGCUGCGGAGUGGUACCUUCAAAAUAAACUGAUAAACAAGUAAAGUGUUCUCUUGAGUUCUGUGAGCUCUUCUAAUCAUUGAACCUGAGGAGGGGGUUAUGGGAACCUCCCAAUUUAUAGCUGGUCAGUCGUAAGUAUAGGUGACCCCUGGGACUUGCACCUGGCAUCUAAAGUGGGGGCAGUCUUGUGGGAUGGAGUCCUAAACUGUGGAGCCAGCACUAACUCUGGGGAGUUCGCAUCAGAAUUGAAUGAAAUUGUUGGAUGCGCAGUUGGUGCUGGAGAAUUGGUGUGGAAAAAUGACAUGCAUUUGCUAUGAGAAGUGGUGUCAGGAAAAAGAUGACACACUAGUCCAAACAGAGAUGUGCUGUAAGUGUAAAACACACCCUGGAUUUUGAGGACUCGGUAUGAACAAAGAUUAUAAAAUAUUUCAUUAAUAAUUUUUUGUAUUGAUUUCAUGUUGAAAUAAUAAUUUUGAUGUAUUGGGUUAUAUAAAAUAUAUUAUUAAAAAUAAGAUAAAAUAUGUAAUUAAAAUGAACUUCAGGG
Molecule: long non-coding RNA, 6609 nt
Filed under: Equus caballus (horse)
Lineage: Eukaryota; Metazoa; Chordata; Mammalia; Perissodactyla; Equidae
Description: lncRNA (ENSECAG00000053341.1)
Source: RNAcentral